This 782-nucleotide ribosomal RNA is filed under the name uncultured Hymenobacter sp. Its description in RNAcentral is "bacterial SSU rRNA". It matches the Rfam family "Bacterial small subunit ribosomal RNA", at positions 8 to 796 of the family's 1533-position model. Lineage: Bacteria; Pseudomonadati; Bacteroidota; Cytophagia; Cytophagales; Hymenobacteraceae. The record is from RNAcentral.
AGAGUUUGAUCAUGGCUCAGGAUAAACGCUAGCGGCAGGCCUAAUACAUGCAAGUCGAACGGGUAGCCUUCGGGCUACUAGUGGCGCACGGGUGCGUAACGCGUAACCAACCUGCCCAGAACUGGGGGAUAGCCCGCCGAAAGGCGGAUUAAUACCGCAUACGCCUACUGCCUGGCAUCAGGGGGUAGGUAAAGAUUUAUUGGUUCUGGAUGGGGUUGCGUAGCAUUAGCUAGAUGGCGGGGUAAAGGCCCACCAUGGCGACGAUGCUUAGGGGACCUGAGAGGGUGAUCCCCCACACUGGCACUGAGAUACGGGCCAGACUCCUACGGGAGGCAGCAGUAGGGAAUAUUGGGCAAUGGGCGAGAGCCUGACCCAGCCAUGCCGCGUGCCGGAUGAAGGCCUUCUGGGUUGUAAACGGCUUUUCUUAGGGAAGAAAAAGCCCAUGCGUGGGACACUGACGGUACCUAAGGAAGAAGCACCGGCUAACUCCGUGCCAGCAGCCGCGGUAAUACGGAGGGUGCAAGCGUUGUCCGGAUUUAUUGGGUUUAAAGGGUGCGUAGGUGGCCUGUUAAGUCCGGGGUGAAAGCCCACAGCUCAACUGUGGAACUGCCCUGGAUACUGGCGGGCUUGAGUCCAGACGAGGUUGGCGGAAUGGAAGCUGUAGCGGUGAAAUGCAUAGAUAGCUUCCAGAACCCCGAUUGCGUAGGCAGCUGACUAGGCUGGUACUGACACUGAGGCACGAAAGCGUGGGGAGCGAACAGGAUUAGAUACCCCCGUAGUCC